RNAcentral lists this ribosomal RNA (666 nucleotides) under Triticum aestivum (bread wheat). RNAcentral's name for it is "partial small subunit ribosomal RNA". The record is from RNAcentral. Lineage: Eukaryota; Viridiplantae; Streptophyta; Magnoliopsida; Poales; Poaceae.
UUGGGACAACAUUGUACAAUCCAAGAGCUUGUGUGUGUGUGUAAGACACAUCGUCCCGAUAUUAUCUUUCUUUUGGAAACUAGGAAAAAUAAAGAGUAUGUUGAGUCUUUGCGUUAUAGGUUAGGUAUGAAUAAUGUGUUUACUGUUUCUGGCCACGGUAAAGGUGGAGGGCUCGCUACGUUUUGGGAUAAAGCAUAUUCUUGUGAGUUGAACAAAUUUGGUGAACACUUUAGUGAUAUGUCAAUCUACAAGGGGGAUGGCACAAAGUGGAGGUGCACUUUUAUUUAUGGUGAACCUAAGGUGAGACAAAGGUACGUCAUGUGGGAUCUCUUGAGAUGGAUAAUACCCCUUGGUUCUGGACCUUGGUUUAUGGUUGGGGAUUUUAAUGAAGCUAUGUGGCAAAAUGAACACUUUUCUCGUCAUAAGCGGUCUUCUAGAAUCAUGGCUAAUUUUCGUGAUGUUCUGUCGGAUUGCAAUUGAUUUGAUUUGGGAUUUGAAGGUGUUCUGUGGACGUAUAAUAAUAAGCAGCAUGGCAACAAGAAUGUCAGGGUACGCCUUGACCGGGCGGUGGCUUGCCCACUUUGGUCCUCUAUUUUCCUGUGGUGCAAGGUCUCCCAUAUUAUGAGUUCCAGGUCUGAUCAUUGCCCCAUUCUUGUUGAUUUAUUG